Molecule: ribosomal RNA, 717 nt
Filed under: Nectria cinnabarina
Lineage: Eukaryota; Fungi; Ascomycota; Sordariomycetes; Hypocreales; Nectriaceae
Description: SSU rRNA
Rfam family: Eukaryotic small subunit ribosomal RNA
Source: RNAcentral
GCAAUUAUACAGCGAAACUGCGAAUGGCUCAUUAUAUAAGUUAUCGUUUAUUUGAUAGUACCUUACUACUUGGAUAACCGUGGUAAUUCUAGAGCUAAUACAUGCUAAAAAUCCCGACUUCGGAAGGGAUGUAUUUAUUAGAUUAAAAACCAAUGCCCUUCGGGGCUCCUUGGUGAUUCAUGAUAACUUCUCGAAUCGCAUGGCCUUGCGCCGGCGAUGGUUCAUUCAAAUUUCUUCCCUAUCAACUUUCGAUGUUUGGGUAUUGGCCAAACAUGGUUGCAACGGGUAACGGAGGGUUAGGGCUCGACCCCGGAGAAGGAGCCUGAGAAACGGCUACUACAUCCAAGGAAGGCAGCAGGCGCGCAAAUUACCCAAUCCCGACACGGGGAGGUAGUGACAAUAAAUACUGAUACAGGGCUCUUUUGGGUCUUGUAAUUGGAAUGAGUACAAUUUAAAUCCCUUAACGAGGAACAAUUGGAGGGCAAGUCUGGUGCCAGCAGCCGCGGUAAUUCCAGCUCCAAUAGCGUAUAUUAAAGUUGUUGUGGUUAAAAAGCUCGUAGUUGAACCUUGGGCCUGGCUGGCCGGUCCGCCUCACCGCGUGUACUGGUCCGGCCGGGCCUUUCCCUCUGUGGAACCCCAUGCCCUUCACUGGGUGUGGCGGGGAAACAGGACUUUUACUUUGAAAAAAAUUAGAGUGCUCCAGGCAGGCCUAUGCUC